Molecule: ribosomal RNA, 508 nt
Filed under: uncultured bacterium
Lineage: Bacteria
Description: partial 16S ribosomal RNA
Rfam family: Bacterial small subunit ribosomal RNA
Source: RNAcentral
GACGAACGCUGGCGGCGUGCCUAAUACAUGCAAGUCGAACGCUUCUUUCCUCCCGAGUGCUUGCACUCAAUUGGAAAGAGGAGUGGCGGACGGGUGAGUAACACGUGGGUAACCUACCCAUCAGAGGGGGAUAACACUUGGAAACAGGUGCUAAUACCGCAUAACAGUUUAUGCCGCAUGGCAUAAGAGUGAAAGGCGCUUUCGGGUGUCGCUGAUGGAUGGACCCGCGGUGCAUUAGCUAGUUGGUGAGGUAACGGCUCACCAAGGCCACGAUGCAUAGCCGACCUGAGAGGGUGAUCGGCCACACUGGGACUGAGACACGGCCCAGACUCCUACGGGAGGCAGCAGUAGGGAAUCUUCGGCAAUGGACGAAAGUCUGACCGAGCAACGCCGCGUGAGUGAAGAAGGUUUUCGGAUCGUAAAACUCUGUCGUUAGAGAAGAACAAGGACGUUAGUAACUGAACGUCCCCUGACGGUAUCUAACCAGAAAGCCACGGCUAACUACGUG